AACGAACGCUGGCGGCAUGCCUAACACAUGCAAGUCGAACGAGACCUUCGGGUCUAGUGGCGCACGUGUGCGUAACGCGUGGGAACCUGCCCUUAGGUUCGGAAUAACUCCCCGAAAGGGGUGCUAAUACCGGAUAAUGUCUUCGGACCAAAGAUUUAUCGCCUUUGGAUGGGCCCGCGUUGGAUUAGCUAGUUGGUAGGGUAAAAGCCUACCAAGGCGACGAUCCAUAGCUGGUCUGAGAGGAUGAUCAGCCACACUGGAACUGAGACACGGCCCAGAAUCGUACGGGAGGCAGCAGUGGGGAAUAUUGGACAAGGGGCGAAAGCCUGAUCAAGCAAUGCCGCGUGAGUGAUGAAGGCCUUAGGGUUGUAAAGCUCUUUUAGCCGGGAUGAUAAUGACAGUACCGGGAGAAUAAGCGCCGGCUAACUACGUG
RNAcentral lists this ribosomal RNA (433 nucleotides) under uncultured bacterium. RNAcentral describes it as "partial 16S ribosomal RNA". It matches the Rfam family "Bacterial small subunit ribosomal RNA", at positions 29 to 507 of the family's 1533-position model. The record is from RNAcentral.